RNAcentral lists this ribosomal RNA (497 nucleotides) under uncultured bacterium. RNAcentral's name for it is "partial 16S ribosomal RNA". It matches the Rfam family "Bacterial small subunit ribosomal RNA", at positions 28 to 507 of the family's 1533-position model. The record is from RNAcentral.
GAUGAACGCUGGCGGCGUGCCUAAUACAUGCAAGUCGAGCGAACGGACGAGAAGCUUGCUUCUCUGAUGUUAGCGGCGGACGGGUGAGUAACACGUGGAUAACCUACCUAUAAGACUGGGAUAACUUCGGGAAACCGGAGCUAAUACCGGAUAAUAUUUUGAACCGCAUGGUUCAAAAGUGAAAGACGGUCUUGCUGUCACUUAUAGAUGGAUCCGCGCUGCAUUAGCUAGUUGGUAAGGUAACGGCUUACCAAGGCAACGAUGCAUAGCCUACCUGAGAGGGUGAUCGGCCACACUGGAACUGAGACACGGUCCAGACUUCUACGGGAGGCAGCAGUAGGGAAUCUUCCGCAAUGGGCGAAAGCCUGACGGAGCAACGCCGCGUGAGUGAUGAAGGUCUUCGGAUCGUAAAACUCUGUUAUUAGGGAAGAACAUAUGUGUAAGUAACUGUGCACAUCUUGACGGUACCUAAUCAGAAAGCCACGGCUAACUACGUG